GGGUCCGUAGCUUAGUGGUAAAGCACCGGCCUUUUAAGCCGUUGACCUGAGUUCGAUUCUCGGCGGACCCACCA
RNAcentral lists this transfer RNA (74 nucleotides) under Candidatus Aenigmatarchaeota archaeon. RNAcentral's name for it is "tRNA-Lys". It matches the Rfam family "tRNA". From Rfam's summary of the family: Transfer RNA (tRNA) molecules are approximately 80 nucleotides in length. Their secondary structure includes four short double-helical elements and three loops (D, anti-codon, and T loops). Lineage: Archaea; Nanobdellati; Candidatus Aenigmatarchaeota. The record is from RNAcentral.